GACGAACGCUGGCGGCGUGCCUAAUACAUGCAAGUCGAGCGCAGGAAACUGACGGAACUCUUCGGAGGGAAGGCAGUGGAAUGAGCGGCGGACGGGUGAGUAACACGUAAGGAACCUGCCUCAAGGAUUGGGAUAACUCCGAGAAAUCGGAGCUAAUACCGGAUAGUUCAACGGACCGCAUGGUCCGCUGAUGAAAGGCGCUCCGGCGUCACCUUGAGAUGGCCUUGCGGUGCAUUAGCUAGUUGGUGGGGUAACGGCCCACCAAGGCGACGAGUCAGAGCCGACCUGAGAGGGUGAUCGGCCACACUGGGACUGAGCCACGGCCCGGACUCCGACGGGAGGCAGCAGUAGGGAAUCUUCCACAAUGGACGAAAGUCUGAUGGAGCAACGCCGCGUGAGUGAUGAAGGUUUUCGGAUCGUAAAACUCUGUUGUAAGGGAAGAACACGUACGAGAGGAAAUGCUCGUACCUUGACGGUACCUUGCGAGAAAGCCACGGCUAACUACGUGCCAGCAGCCGCCGUAA
This 524-nucleotide ribosomal RNA is filed under the name uncultured bacterium. Its description in RNAcentral is "partial 16S ribosomal RNA". It matches the Rfam family "Bacterial small subunit ribosomal RNA", at positions 28 to 523 of the family's 1533-position model. The record is from RNAcentral.